Molecule: ribosomal RNA, 253 nt
Filed under: uncultured bacterium
Lineage: Bacteria
Description: partial 16S ribosomal RNA
Rfam family: Bacterial small subunit ribosomal RNA
Source: RNAcentral
GACGUAGGGCGCGAGCGUUGUCCGGAUUUAUUGGGCGUAAAGAGCUCGUAGGCGGCUUGUCGCGUCGACUGUGAAAUCCCGCGGCUCAACUGCGGGUCUGCAGUCGAUACGGGCAGGCUAGAGUUCGGUAGGGGAGACUGGAAUUCCUGGUGUAGCGGUGAAAUGCGCAGAUAUCAGGAGGAACACCGGUGGCGAAGGCGGGUCUCUGGGCCGAUACUGACGCUGAGGAGCGAAAGCGUGGAGAGCGAACAGG